CUCUCCUACCCUUUCCUGGAAGAAGGGGUUCCUGAGUGUGUCAGGAAUUGCAGCCCCCACCCCCAGCAGCCAUGGCCCUAAUUGGCUCCAAACUAGUCCUUCCCAACAGGCAUUCUUCCUUUUCAGAUCAAUCCUCUAACCCUUGCUGCCCAACUAGGGGGCUGGAGACUGGGUAGGGGGUGCAGGUGCCUCCCUGAGCAGAAGGCAGCUCCCAGCAUCCCCGUCUCUCCUGCCUGCUCCCUCAGUGAGGGUGUCCAUAGCUGUCUACCCUGGGUUGGGGCCUUGAACCAGCCUCCGACUCCAGUUCCCUGGACACCAAAGGCCCACACUGCAAAGACUCUGCCCCUGGCUAGCCUCUGCGUCCCUAGGACACACUUCGACGUCCAGGCCCUUGCACCCUCUGGCCUUCAGCACCCAGAGACACAAGUCACUCACACCCAAGCCUGUAGCUCCCCAAAAUGCUGUCGUCCCAGAAUCACACCUCACCAGCUGGGCCAGAGAACACGGUGACCCCCAAGCGGUGACAGGGCACAGUGCCAGGCCCACGUUGAAUUACUCCUCCCAGGGAGAAGACCCUGACCCAGGACUCGAG
RNAcentral lists this long non-coding RNA (592 nucleotides) under Homo sapiens (human). RNAcentral's name for it is "HSALNT0000261". Lineage: Eukaryota; Metazoa; Chordata; Mammalia; Primates; Hominidae. The record is from RNAcentral.